This 116-nucleotide ribosomal RNA is filed under the name Zingiber officinale. The record is from RNAcentral. Lineage: Eukaryota; Viridiplantae; Streptophyta; Magnoliopsida; Zingiberales; Zingiberaceae.
GUGAUCAUACCAGCACUAAUGCACCGGAUCCCAUCAGAACUCCGAAGUUAAGCUUGCUUGGGCGAGGGCAGUACUAGGAUGGGUGACCCCCUGGGAAGUAUUAUCCACCGCAGCUU